Molecule: ribosomal RNA, 250 nt
Filed under: uncultured bacterium
Lineage: Bacteria
Description: partial 16S ribosomal RNA
Rfam family: Bacterial small subunit ribosomal RNA
Source: RNAcentral
UAGAUACCCUGGUAGUCCACCCCGUAAACGUUGGGAACUAGUUGUGGGGUCCAUUCCACGGAUUCCGUGACGCAGCUAACGCAUUAAGUUCCCCGCCUGGGGAGUACGGCCGCAAGGCUAAAACUCAAAGGAAUUGACGGGGACCCGCACAAGCGGCGGAGCAUGCGGAUUAAUUCGAUGCAACGCGAAGAACCUUACCAAGGCUUGACAUAUAGAGGAAACGUCUGGAAACAGUCGCCCCGCAAGGUCU